RNAcentral lists this ribosomal RNA (440 nucleotides) under uncultured bacterium. RNAcentral's name for it is "partial 16S ribosomal RNA". It matches the Rfam family "Bacterial small subunit ribosomal RNA", at positions 338 to 795 of the family's 1533-position model. The record is from RNAcentral.
CCUACGGGAGGCAGCAGUGGGGAAUAUUACACAAUGGGGGAAACCCUGAUGCAGCGACGCCGCGUGAGUGAAGAAGUAUUUCGGUAUGUAAAGCUCUAUCAGCAGGGAAGAAAAUGACGGUACCUGAGUAAGAAGCCCCGGCUAACUACGUGCCAGCAGCCGCGGUAAUACGUAGGGGGCAAGCGUUAUCCGGAUUUACUGGGUGUAAAGGGAGCGUAGACGGCAGUGCAAGUCUGGAGUGAAAGGCGGGGGCUCAACCCCCGGACUGCUCUGGAAACUGUACGGCUGGAGUGCAGGAGAGGUAAGUGGAAUUCCUAGUGUAGCGGUGAAAUGCGUAGAUAUUAGGAGGAACACCAGUGGCGAAGGCGACUUACUGGACUGUAACUGACGUUGAGGCUCGAAAGCGUGGGGAGCAAACAGGAUUAGAUACCCGUGUAGUC